AUGACUUUGAUCUGCGUCCUCAUCUGGACUCUCCUCUGCUGCUGCUUCACAGAGUCCAGAGGUCAGGUCACAGUGACUCAGCCUGCAGCAGUGAGAGCUGAUCUGGGAGGAACUGUUACCAUCAACUGUAGGACCAGUCAACGAGUUAAUGGUGGUAAUGAUAUAGCCUGGUAUCAACAGAAAGAUGGACAAACUCCUAAGCGUCUCAUUUAUUAUGCCAGCACUCGAGAAUCAGGGACUCCAAGUCGUUUUACAGGCAGUGGAUCAAACUCUGACUUCACUCUGACCAUCAGUGGAGUUCAGGCUGAAGAUGCUGCAGUUUAUUACUGUGUGAGUUUUCAUGUCAUCAAUAGUCAGUACGUGUUCACACAGUGA
Non-coding RNA from Cyprinodon tularosa, 375 nucleotides. Lineage: Eukaryota; Metazoa; Chordata; Actinopteri; Cyprinodontiformes; Cyprinodontidae. The record is from the annotation of a RefSeq genome assembly.